Molecule: long non-coding RNA, 421 nt
Organism: Carassius auratus (goldfish)
Lineage: Eukaryota; Metazoa; Chordata; Actinopteri; Cypriniformes; Cyprinidae
Exons: 3
Source: RefSeq, a predicted model, not a curated record
UUGGAACAAAAGUCUGCAGGGCUCUGGUCCUCUAGGAAUUUAGUUUGACACCCCUGCUUUAUGCCAUGCGUUGAUCGUUAAAAUAUGGCCUUUGUCUCUAAAAGGUGUAGCAUGAAGAGACCGAUAUGAAUUCUAAAUCGUCUUUGUGAUGGAUGCCAACAACAUCUACUGCUGUCCGUCUCAUUGUUACAUCUUAAGAGAAAGAAGACAUCAUUAGCAGGCCUAUUUUUAACUCUCACAUCUGAAGUUUUGUCAGAAACAAGACAGCACGAGGCGUGAACAUCUAUUCCUGUGUGCCAGAGAGAGCAGCUGCUUUAUCCACACUGUGCAGGGUCCAAUAAUGCUGGUCUCUUCAUAACAUCACAUACAGCUCAAGAUCAACAGAAGUAAAAAGACUGGACAAGAAAAGGCUCAAUUAUGU